RNAcentral lists this ribosomal RNA (498 nucleotides) under uncultured bacterium. RNAcentral's name for it is "partial 16S ribosomal RNA". It matches the Rfam family "Bacterial small subunit ribosomal RNA", at positions 28 to 507 of the family's 1533-position model. The record is from RNAcentral.
GAUGAACGCUGGCGGCGUGCCUAAUACAUGCAAGUCGAGCGAACGGACGAGAAGCUUGCUUCUCUGAUGUUAGCGGCGGACGGGUGAGUAACACGUGGAUAACCUACCUAUAAGACUGGGAUAACUUCGGGAAACCGUAUCUAAUACCGGAUAAUAUGUUGAACCGCAUGGUUCAAAAGUGAAAGACGGUCUUGCUGUCACUUAUAGAUGGAUCCGCGCUGCAUUAGCUAGUUGGUAAGGUAACGGCUUACCAAGGCAACGAUGCAUAGCCGACCUGAGAGGGUGGACCGCCCACAUUGGACCGGGGACAGGGUCAGGACUCCUAGGGGAGGAAGAGGAGGGGAACUUUCGCCAAUGGCGGAAGGCCGGAUGAGGCAAUGCCGGUGGGGUGAGGAAGUCCUUGGAUUGGAAAACUCCGUUAAUUGGGAAGAAAAUAUGUGUAAGUAACAGUGCACAUUUUUGCCGUUCCUAACAAAAAAGGCACCGGUUAAUUCCGUC